GAUGAAGAACGUAGCGAAAUGCGAUACGUAAUGUGAAUUGCAGAAUUCAGUGAAUCAUCGAAUCUUUGAACGCAUAUUGCGCUCUUUGGUAUUCCGAAGAGCAUGCUUGUUUGAGUAUCAGUAAACACCUCAAAGACUUCAAUUUGUUUUGAAUGGCUUUGGACUUGAGCAAUCCCAACACCAGUCUUUACGAUCGGUGGAGGGUUGCUUGAAAUGCAGGUGCAGCUGGACAUUCUCCUGAGCUAAAAGCAUAUUUAUUUAGUCCCGUCAAACGGAUUAUUACUUUUGCUGCAGCUAACACAAAGGGAGUUUGACCGUAUUGGCUGACUGAUGCAGGAUUUCACAAGGGUCGGCAACGAUUCUUGUAAAACUCGAUCUCAAAUCAAGUAAGACUACCCGCUGAACUUAAGCAUAUCAAUAAGCGGAGGA
RNAcentral lists this unclassified non-coding RNA (429 nucleotides) under soil metagenome. RNAcentral describes it as "partial contains 5.8S ribosomal RNA, internal transcribed spacer 2, and large subunit ribosomal RNA". The stretch from base 1 to 120 matches the Rfam family "5.8S ribosomal RNA", at positions 35 to 154 of the family's 154-position model. The record is from RNAcentral.